GUCCACGCCGUAAACGAUGGGCACUAGAUGCUUGGGGGAGCGACCCCCUGAGUGUCGUCGCUAACGCAUUAAGUGCCCCGCCUGGGGAGUACGGCCGCAAGGCUGAAACUCAAAGGAAUUGACGGGGGCCCGCACAAGCGGUGGAGCAUGUGGUUUAAUUCGACGCAACGCGAAGAACCUUACCAGGGCUUGACAUGCAGGGGAAAUCCUGGGGAAACCCGGGUGUCCUUCGGGACGUCCUGCACAGGUGCUGCAUGGCUGUCGU
This 265-nucleotide ribosomal RNA is filed under the name uncultured bacterium. Its description in RNAcentral is "partial 16S ribosomal RNA". It matches the Rfam family "Bacterial small subunit ribosomal RNA", at positions 793 to 1055 of the family's 1533-position model. The record is from RNAcentral.